Molecule: non-coding RNA, 72 nt
Organism: Claviceps digitariae
Lineage: Eukaryota; Fungi; Ascomycota; Sordariomycetes; Hypocreales; Clavicipitaceae
Source: the annotation of a GenBank genome assembly
GCUUGGGUAGUUUAAUGGUUAAAACUCAAAUCUCAUAUGUUUGUAAUGUAAGUUCGAUUCUUGCCCUAGGCU